AUGCUCCCUUCAGCAGCACUUAUACUAAAAUUGGAAUGAUACAGAGAAGAUUAGUAUGGCCCCUGCACAAGGCUGAUGUGCUUUAUACAAAAAAGAAAAAACAAAUUU
RNAcentral lists this small nuclear RNA (108 nucleotides) under Microcebus murinus (gray mouse lemur). Lineage: Eukaryota; Metazoa; Chordata; Mammalia; Primates; Cheirogaleidae. The record is from RNAcentral.